GGAAUCUUAGACAAUGGGGGAAACCCUGAUCUAGCCAUGCCGCGUGAGUGACGAAGGCCCUAGGGUCGUAAAGCUCUUUCGCCGGGGAAGAUAAUGACGGUACCCGGUAAAGAAGUCCCGGCUAACUCCGUGCCAGCAGCCGCGGUAAUACGGAGGGGACGAGCGUUGUUCGGAAUUACUGGGCGUACAGCGCACGUAGGCGGCUCUGCAAGUCGGGUGUGAAAUCCCCGGGCUCAACCUGGGAACUGCAUUCGAUACUGCAUUGCUGGAGUAUGGGAGAGGGAAGUGGAAUUUCCGGUGUAGCGGUGAAAUGCGUAGAUAUCGGAAGGAACACCAGUGGCGAAAGCGACUUCCUGGACCAAUACUGACGCUCAGGUGCGAAAGCGUGGGGAGCAAA
This 397-nucleotide ribosomal RNA is filed under the name uncultured bacterium. RNAcentral describes it as "bacterial SSU rRNA". It matches the Rfam family "Bacterial small subunit ribosomal RNA", at positions 358 to 772 of the family's 1533-position model. The record is from RNAcentral.